AGUUGCGAGUCAGUGACGAAGCAUAUGGUCGAGUGUUGUUAAAACUAAAAGUCUCUCUACUCGAUCUCUUGGAUGGUAAACUAUACGUAAACGUAUAUAUAUGUAGAGAAUUAAAUAGGGAGAAAAUAGAAUAAAAACAAAUAAAAAGAGAAAGAGAGGAAGACAAGUAACACAAACACAGGGCUCGAGAAGAGACAAGACUCUGCGGCUUCUACCCUUUUUUUGGGGACUCACUCUUCUCUUAUAUCAUUCAUUCACUCCCCUCUCCUUUUCUCCUCCACGUCAACUCUGAUUCCCACCAUCCCUUCUUACUUGUUAUAUCUUUU
Molecule: long non-coding RNA, 326 nt
Filed under: Capsella rubella
Lineage: Eukaryota; Viridiplantae; Streptophyta; Magnoliopsida; Brassicales; Brassicaceae
Description: long non-coding RNA (CRUB_LNC002778)
Source: RNAcentral